CCUACGGGAGGCAGCAGUGGGGAAUAUUGCGCAAUGGGGGAAACCCUGAUGCAGCGACGCCGCGUGAGCGAAGAAGGAUUUCGGUAUGUAAAGCUCUAUCAGCAGGGAAGAAAAUGACGGUACCUGAGUAAGAAGCUCCGGCUACAUACGGGCCAGCAGCCGCGGUAAUACGUAGGGGGCAAGCGUUAUCCGGAUUUACUGGGAGGAGAGGGGGCGUAGGCGGCCUGCCAAGUCUGAUGUGAAAUACCCGGGCUCAACCCCUGGGCUGCAUUGGAAACUGGCAGUCUUGAGUGCCGGAGAGGCAGGCGGAAUUCCUAGUGUAGCGGUGAAAUGCGUAGAUAUUAGGAGGAACACCAGUGGCGAAGGCGGCCUGCUGGACGGCGACUGAUGCUGAGGCGCGAAAGCGUGGGGAGCAAACAGGAUUAGAUACCCGAGUAGUC
RNAcentral lists this ribosomal RNA (440 nucleotides) under uncultured bacterium. RNAcentral describes it as "partial 16S ribosomal RNA". It matches the Rfam family "Bacterial small subunit ribosomal RNA", at positions 338 to 795 of the family's 1533-position model. The record is from RNAcentral.